RNAcentral lists this ribosomal RNA (253 nucleotides) under uncultured bacterium. Its description in RNAcentral is "partial 16S ribosomal RNA". It matches the Rfam family "Bacterial small subunit ribosomal RNA", at positions 524 to 776 of the family's 1533-position model. The record is from RNAcentral.
UACGAAGGGGGCUAGCGUUGUUCGGAAUUACUGGGCGUAAAGGGCGCGUAGGCGGCCCACUAAGUCGAACGUGAAAUCCCUGGGCUCAACCCAGGAACUGCGUCCGAUACUGGUGGGCUCGAAUCCGGGAGAGGGAUGUGGAAUUCCAGGUGUAGCGGUGAAAUGCGUAGAUAUCAGGAGGAACACCGAUUGCGAAGGCAGCUCGCUGGGACGUCACUGACGCUGAGACGCGAAAGCGUGGGGAGCAAACAGG